UACGGGGGGGGCAAGCGUUGUUCGGAAUUACUGGGCGUAAAGGGCUCGUAGGCGGCCAACUAAGUCAGACGUGAAAUCCCUCGGCUUAACCGGGGAACUGCAUCUGAUACUGGAUGGCUUGAGUUCGGGAGAGGGAUGCGGAAUUCCAGGUGUAGCGGUGAAAUGCGUAGAUAUCUGGAGGAACACCGGUGGCGAAGGCGGCAUCCUGGACCGACACUGACGCUGAGGAGCGAAAACCAGGGGAGCAAACGGG
RNAcentral lists this ribosomal RNA (253 nucleotides) under uncultured bacterium. Its description in RNAcentral is "partial 16S ribosomal RNA". It matches the Rfam family "Bacterial small subunit ribosomal RNA", at positions 524 to 776 of the family's 1533-position model. The record is from RNAcentral.